AUGGUGGCCGGGCCGGGGCCGGGGCUGCUGGCCUUGGCCUUGGCCUUGUGGCCGGCAGGGCUCUGGGCACGGCCGAGGCUGCAGGAGGCCGGCGGAGGGCAGCGAGCGCCCGGGGACUCCGUCACCCUCUCCUGCCGCGGAUCCGGAUUCACCUUUAGGAGUCAUGGAAUUUAUUGGUACCGUCAGUCACCCGGAGGGAGCCUGGCUUGGGUGUCCUUUAUUGGUUCUAAUCCGAGAGUUCUAUAUUUUGACCAGUCCGUGCAGGGGCGGACCAAGAUGUCCCGGGACAAUUCCCGGUCCGAGGUUUAUCUCUCCCUGCUGACCCUGCAGUCCCGCGACUCUGCCCGGUACUUCUGUGCUGUUCACACGGGGAUAGGAAACCCAGAUAAGCUUAUAUUUGGACCAGGGACGACUCUCACAGUUGAACCAAACAUUUCCAAUAUUUCUCACCCUCAAGUCAUUGUGAUGAAAUCAAAGAAACUGGAAGGAGGUGGCAGCUCUGGGAAAGCAGCUUGUUUGGCAAGGAACUCCGCUACAAAGAACAUCAGAUUGGAGAUGCCCUCUCAGGAGGUGGUCUAUGAACAGAGCCCAUCCAUUUUGACAUCACAGGGGUUGUACAAUGCAAUUAAAGUGGUCAGGGUGACAAAAGACACAGAGGUGACCUGCACGGCCAAAUUCCCCGACCACACGAUAACAGCAGAGCCAGGUACAGUUUGGUGGCACAGCUGUCACUGA
Non-coding RNA from Zonotrichia leucophrys gambelii, 735 nucleotides. The record is from the annotation of a RefSeq genome assembly. NCBI's taxonomy places the organism in Eukaryota, Metazoa, Chordata, Aves, Passeriformes, Passerellidae.